CCCAACCCAAACCCACCAAUAAGUCAAAAAGUACAUUUUUUUAGGACAUCCAAACCAACCCUUAAUUUUUUUUUAGGCAUGCCACGUCACUAGAGCUGUUUUUAGUGGUCUUAUUUUAGUGGUCUGUAUCAUAGUUGCCUCUUCUAGAGUUUUUUUUCUUGUCAUGGCCCGAGCUUACACUGUCUCCAUGGACUGCAAAUUCAGAGCCGAUGCUAGAGUUACUUGUCGGUCCUGUGCUACAAGUUGUGCAAAUAUAAUUUUUAAAUUUUUUUUUAAUAUUUUUGUAUUUUGUUUUAUUAUUUUUUUCUCAUUUAUAGAGGUUUUUCUUUAUUUUCUAUGAAAAUUUGGGUUUGUCUGUGUUAUUGGUAGUCGCAGUAUGUUGCAAUUAUGAUCCUUGGUUGAUGAUCGCGGUAUAUUGCUGGCUAUGGUUAUUGGAUGUUCAAGUGUUCGCAUUUGAAAUACUGAACAUUUGCUGUAAUUCCUUUUAGAGUUAGAAAUAAUCAUUCUUGAUGUAUUUGUUUUUGUCUAUCAAUAAAAUUUAACUUUGGCAAA
Camellia sinensis is the source of this 552-nucleotide long non-coding RNA. RefSeq lists it as uncharacterized. The record is from RefSeq and is a predicted model, not a curated record. NCBI's taxonomy places the organism in Eukaryota, Viridiplantae, Streptophyta, Magnoliopsida, Ericales, Theaceae.